GCCUGGGUGGCUCAGUCAGUUGAGCGUCUGACUUCGGCUCAGGUCAUGAUCUCCUGGUUUAUGGGUUCGAGCCCCGUGUCGGGCU
RNAcentral lists this transfer RNA (85 nucleotides) under Felis catus (domestic cat). It matches the Rfam family "tRNA". Rfam says of the family: Transfer RNA (tRNA) molecules are approximately 80 nucleotides in length. Their secondary structure includes four short double-helical elements and three loops (D, anti-codon, and T loops). The record is from Rfam by way of RNAcentral. Lineage: Eukaryota; Metazoa; Chordata; Mammalia; Carnivora; Felidae.